Molecule: non-coding RNA, 562 nt
Organism: Theobroma cacao (cacao)
Lineage: Eukaryota; Viridiplantae; Streptophyta; Magnoliopsida; Malvales; Malvaceae
Source: RefSeq, a predicted model, not a curated record
CACGGGCUCGAUGAGAGUUUCGAGUCGUGACACCUUUAUUCCUUGACAUUUUGCAUGCAACUAUUUAUUUUCCUUUUGUAGCACAUUAAGCUCAACAAUCAUUGAUUCAAAGGGACUUCUCGAGAUUUCAAACUGGAUGAACAAAUAGAAUCAGAUUGGGGAGGCAAUAUGAUGUUUUUUUAUUCUCCAUGCAUGCCAUACCAAAUAUUCUAGUGUAACCUUAUCAUUGAAUCUCCUUAGUCUUAUUCUAUGAGCAUGUUUCCAUGACUUAACAAUCUACUCAACUUUCUUUAACACCCUUGGCUUGUCGUAUAAAUUGUUCAGACCCCAUUUGUCUAUGUACCAUAAAUGAGGCAUAGCUAAUUGCCCCUAUAAUCCUAAGAGGGGAACUGACAUCUUAUCUCCACAGCUAUACAACAUUGGUUGAAGUGCCAUCCAUGGUGCUUUCCAUAUUACCUAUUGUCUCAUGAGGCUUUUUCGUCUCAAGAACCAUGCUUGUUUGGAUAUUUUUUUUUAGGCCAUUCACUUUCAAUAAACUUUCCAAUCGAAACGUUAAUGGAGA